UGGCUUAUGAUUAAAUUUGUUUGUUAGCUGGGCACUGAGUGUAUUCUAUCACCAGUGAGGUAAUCCUCACAGCACAUUCCACGUUCCUGGAAAACUACUGGCCUUCUGGGCUGCCAUGUGUUUAUCCAGCAUAGGUUGUGUGGCACAGCACAGUUAUGAACACCACAAAAUUGAGCUGGAAAUCUCUAUGAGAUGAGAAGAAGCAUGACUCACUUCUCCCUGCCCUAGGGAUUACUUCUAGCUUUCAUUUUGAGGAACAUAUUCUCUUUGCUGCCCGAGUUCUUCUUUUUCAUAUACUGGAAACCAGUACUUAGGGAAGGGAUUAACUUUGUGCUUUGGAAUGCCUGUCAAGGAGAGAACUAACAUACAACACCAAAGACUGAGACACUAGUCUGAGAUCAGUGGGCAAGCCAGAUGAGCUCUUCUUUGGCUGAGUAACCCCAUUUUUGAAGCUGAUACUGUUGCAAUGAAAGAUGACACCUGGCAGACUCCGAAGCAGCCGGAGAAUAGACAGACUGCAAAUGUGAAAUCAGUUCCAGGAUCAAGCCCCAGCACUCCAUCGAGCAUUCACUAGAUCAGUUCACAGUGGGCAUGUGCUUUCCAGCUCCAAUUCUGCAAACCAGUGUCUGUUCACACACUCGUAAUCCAGUUACAUUUCCAAUGGCCUCAACCCUUGACCAAAUUGUCUGAGACGUGUUCCCGGCUAGCAGCCGACCCACUGCAGCUGAGCUGCUCAGAACCAUCUACCCAGCUCAGAGAAACUGGCUGCUGCUGCGGGAAAGCCGCAAAGCCGUAUACUCUCUAAGAUAAGCGCAACCGCUUUUGUGACCUCUCUCCACCGCUGACCGACUGCUGCCAAACGCCUCGGAAUAACUGAACGCCUGUGCUACCUGCUGGUCAAAUAUAUUUACUGCAUCUGGAGUAGAAAUCAGGUAAAAUUAUGGCGGAAUAUUUAUCAUUUGCUAAAAUUGGUAAUGUUUUUGCUUAUUACGUGAAUUCACUGUUUGAGGAGGAUGCUAAUUUGCCAAUUACUGGCCUAUAUGCUGUAAUGGCAGUUAGCUUGCUGGUACAAAUAGUAUUACUAGCCAGAGGACUCAGGAACAGGGACAGAAAUAACCUCACCACCUGCUUGCAGGAAAUAACAGCUUUACGCAAUGAGGUUUUGGAAAACAGAUUAGGUCAGACCACAAUUGUGCAGCAAGUGGAACAGAAAUUGGAUGAUAAGCUUGGCUCUGUGUCCAAUACACUAAAGACAGAGCUGUCUGAUGAGAUGCAGCUUAUUUAUGAUAAGAUAAACACAGAGAGAUCCUCCAUGUCUGAGGCCUUAGAGGCUAGGCUGUCAGAAGACCAUGACCAGCUAAAGAAUAUCUGUAGCCAGCUAGAAACUCAGAUAGGC
This 1396-nucleotide long non-coding RNA is filed under the name Cricetulus griseus (Chinese hamster). Its description in RNAcentral is "lncRNA (ENSCGRG00015040669.1)". Lineage: Eukaryota; Metazoa; Chordata; Mammalia; Rodentia; Cricetidae. The record is from RNAcentral.